Long non-coding RNA from Daphnia carinata, 760 nucleotides. RefSeq lists it as uncharacterized. NCBI's taxonomy places the organism in Eukaryota, Metazoa, Arthropoda, Branchiopoda, Diplostraca, Daphniidae. The transcript has 6 exons. The record is from RefSeq and is a predicted model, not a curated record.
GUUGCAGGUUUCCGACACUUGGACUCUGGAACCCGACGUUAGGACAUCUGUCCACCGACGUUUGGACUACUGGUCCCCGACGUUUGGGCGCAACAGUAAAUUGUUGCUGAAACCAACGAGCGCUACACUUUCCGACAAGAUGACUCCCGUGCCAUCGACAUUAGGACUUUUUUUUUAUUGAUGAUAAGUGUUGUAUACGUCAAACGGACUCCCGAUCUAGCGACAAAAGGAUUCUCAAUACAGAAAAAAGGAUGAAUAAAAUUAUAAGAGUUUAUGUGCUGAUGCCAGAGGCACUAAGGUAUGAUGUAGCAAUCGAAACCAUUCCUUAUAAUGUUGCUGCCAUACGUCAUCCAAGACAUUGUAGAGUAUACAUCAACACUUAGUCUCUGUUAUUAAGAAAUGUGGAAAUGGAGGAUAAGCACAAACUCAUGAUUCCAUUGUUGACUCAAAGCCAACAGCCCCACUUGUCUCGAGGUCCCAAUGUGCAUAUCCAGGGAAAGCGAAGGGGAUAUUAAUCAACGUGCUGGUCGAGCUGGUCGUACCGGCCCGGGACAUUGUUACCGACUCUAUUCUUUUGACGUCUUUAAUGACGAGUUUGAAAAAUUUUCCUUGCCAGAUAUCGCGCGAAGACCCAUCGACGACUUAGUUCUGCAAAUGAAAUCAAUGGACAUUGAAAAAGUUAUUCACUUUCCUUUCCCCACACCACCUGAUAUUCAGCAACUAUUCGCAGCUGAGCGACGGUUGUUGUUGCUAAAUGCAC